CGGCCCGGGCGCGCUUGCUCUUGGGUAUUCCCGCUGAGGGCCGGCGGCUGGCCUGAGACGCGACCUCUGGGGAAGCCCAGGUGUCAUGGCGGACCACGGUGGCCCUCAGUUUAGGGCCCGGGGCGCAGGCAGAAGCUGAGAGAAGAAACAAGAGCACACAUACACACAUAUAUAUAUAGUGAGAUCUUCCAUCUGCUGGUUCACUCCCCAGACGGCUGUAGCUGGUCCGAUCCAAAACCAGAAACCAGAAGCUUCUUCUGGGUCUCCCAUGUGGGUGCAGGCACCCAAGCACUUGGGCCAUCUCCGUUGCUCUUCCAGGCACAUUAGCAGGGAGCUGGAUCAGAAGUAGAGCAGCUGGGACUCGAACUGGUGCCUGUAUGGGAUGCCAGCACUGCAGGUGGAUGUUUAACCCACUACACCACAGCACCAGCCCCACGUGGAGACCUGCCUUCCAAGAAACACGAAAGAAGGUUCUUCAGGCUGAAAGCGAGUGACCUCAGCUGGCUACGUGACCCCACGUGAAAAACCGGAGUGUGCGGAGAGAGGUAACCAUGCAGUUAUGGAAGGCAGUGUCGGCGCAUACUGUCUCCCCUUAACUCAGCUCAAAGACAUGAAACAAUGAGUACUCAAUACACCAUGGGCCUGUUACAUACAGAAACACAAGUAACAAGACAGGGGUGGGGUCUCCCUCUCUCUCUGUCUCUCUCUGUAAUUGUGACUUUCAAAUAAAGAAAUCUUUAAAAUAAAACAAAGUGAAACACAGAAAACCCA
This is a non-coding RNA of Oryctolagus cuniculus (rabbit), 771 nucleotides long. The record is from RefSeq and is a predicted model, not a curated record. NCBI's taxonomy places the organism in Eukaryota, Metazoa, Chordata, Mammalia, Lagomorpha, Leporidae.